CUGGCGGCGUGCUUAAACAUGCAAGUCGAACGAACCUUCGGGUUAGUGGCGGACGGGUGAGUAACGCGUGAGAAUCUGCCCUCAGGAGGGGGACAACAGCUGGAAACGGCUGCUAAUACCCCAUAUGCCGCGAGGUGAAAUGAAUUUCGCCUGAGGAUGAGCUCGCGUCUGAUUAGCUAGUUGGUGUAGGUAAUGGCUCACCAAGGCAUCGAUCAGUAGCUGGUCUGAGAGGAUGAUCAGCCACACUGGGACUGAGACACGGCCCAGACUCCUACGGGAGGCAGCAGUGGGGAAUUUUCCGCAAUGGGCGAAAGCCUGACGGAGCAACGCCGCGUGAGGGAUGAAGGCCUCUGGGCUGUAAACCUCUUUUAUCAAGGAAGAAGAUCUGACGGUACUUGAUGAAUAAGCCACGGCUAAUUCCGUGCCAGCAGCCGCGGUAAUACGGGAGUGGCAAGCGUUAUCCGGAAUUAUUGGGCGUAAAGCGUCCGCAGGCGGCCCUUCAAGUCUGCUGUUAAAAAGUGGAGCUUAACUCCAUCAUGGCAGUGGAAACUGUUGGGCUUGAGUGUGGUACGGGCAGAGGGAAU
RNAcentral lists this ribosomal RNA (584 nucleotides) under uncultured bacterium. RNAcentral describes it as "bacterial SSU rRNA". It matches the Rfam family "Bacterial small subunit ribosomal RNA", at positions 36 to 667 of the family's 1533-position model. The record is from RNAcentral.